Molecule: long non-coding RNA, 209 nt
Organism: Arvicola amphibius (Eurasian water vole)
Lineage: Eukaryota; Metazoa; Chordata; Mammalia; Rodentia; Cricetidae
Exons: 3
Source: RefSeq, a predicted model, not a curated record
AUGUUAUCAGCUUCCCAGAAAGAGGCUCCACGAUAUCUAGAGCAGCCAAGACUAAUGAAAGGAAACCUACUCCUCUGAAGCUUUGAAGUGGCUACAAUCUUUUUUGUUGAGACCCCGGCUGGAUCUAGGACAUAGACUUGUGGGAGACUGGCAACAACAUGGUCACACCAAAGAAGAACCUGGGGUGGAUCUGGAUGCAGAAUUCUCAC